GGGCGUAAAGAGCUCGUAGGCGGCUCAGUUAGUCGGGUGUGAAAACUCAGGGCUUAACCCUGAGACGCCACUCGAUACUGCUGGGCUAGAAUUCGGUAGGGGAGUGGGGAAUUCCUGGUGUAGCGGUGAAAUGCGCAGAUAUCAGGAGGAACACCGGUGGCGAAGGCGCCACUCUGGGCCGACAUUGACGCUGAGGAGCGAAAGCGUGGGUAGCAAACAGGAUUAGAUACCCUGGUAGUCCACGCCGUAAACGGUGGGCACUAGGUGUGGGUUCCAACCAACGGAAUCCGUGCCGUCGCAAACGCAUUAAGUGCCCCGCCUGGGGAGUACGGCCGCAAGGUUAAAACUCAAAGGAAUUGACGGGGCCCCGCACAAGCAGCGGAGCGUGUUGCUUAAUUCGAUGCAACGCGAAGAACCUUACCUGGGCUUGACAUGCAGAGAAAAGCAGUAGAGAUACUGUGUCCUUCGGGGCUUUGCACAGGUGGUGCAUGGCUGUCGUCAGCUCGUGUCGUGAGAUGUUGGGUUAAGUCCCGCAACGAGCGCAACCCUCGUCCUAUGUUGCCAGCGGGUAAUGCCGGGGACUCGUAGGAGACUGCCGGGGUCAACUCGGAGGAAGGUAAU
This 621-nucleotide ribosomal RNA is filed under the name uncultured Actinomycetes bacterium. Its description in RNAcentral is "bacterial SSU rRNA". It matches the Rfam family "Bacterial small subunit ribosomal RNA", at positions 556 to 1177 of the family's 1533-position model. The record is from RNAcentral. Lineage: Bacteria; Bacillati; Actinomycetota; Actinomycetes.